UAAGUAUUUUUAUUUACCUAUAUACAUAUAUUAUUUAUUUAUUUAGCUAUUUAUUUAUUUAUUUAUUAUUAUUAAUUUGUAGGUGAUCCUAUCCCUCACCAACUGCUGCAGUUGGAACUACGCCCAAUUUGGAUGUAGUUCCAACUGCAGCAUUUGGGCCUUCUUGUGUAGUUGGAACUGCAGCAGUUGAACUCAACUACACUAAACCAAACAAAAGAAUUGUUGUUGCACGCAUUUGCAACUGCACUUGCAGUGCGUACAACCAAACAGCCCCUAAAAUGUGACAUGUUAGCACUAUAGUA
RNAcentral lists this long non-coding RNA (302 nucleotides) under Ananas comosus (pineapple). RNAcentral describes it as "long non-coding RNA (ACOM_LNC019078)". The record is from RNAcentral. Lineage: Eukaryota; Viridiplantae; Streptophyta; Magnoliopsida; Poales; Bromeliaceae.